UUGAACAAAUGCAAAUUGGCUUAAUUAUUAUUGAUUAUUUACAAUUGAUGCAAAAUUCACAAGUUCC
Molecule: transfer RNA, 67 nt
Filed under: Chaetoceros neogracilis
Lineage: Eukaryota; Bacillariophyta; Thalassiosirophyceae; Chaetocerotales; Chaetocerotaceae
Source: RNAcentral